GAAAGCUUCCUUUUAGAAUCCAUAGUAAUGAAGGCAAAGAGAGAGCUCAAGUGUGAAGAUUUUCUGCCAGUUAUUUUGUCUCUCCUGCCGCUGAGAGUGUCUGGCACUCUGAUGAAGUCCAUCGGAAACAUAGAUUGGAGUUUAUGAAAGUGAGUCUUUUUGGUAUCUCUGAGCCAUUGAAGAGCCAUCUGGCUUAAUUUUUAUAACUUAAAGGGGAUUAAGAGAAUCACUUUAUGGUUCUGCUUCACGGGGUACACUGCUGGUCACAAAAUGUCCUCGAUCACAUAUAAACUGUUGCGAACAUAAACACUGGUUUAUUGUGGGGGAGCAUACGUCCUCCUUUCUCUUCCUGUCCAACUUGAUAGUAUUUCUCCUUUAAAUCGUUAUCCAGAAGGUCUGUGUUUGGCAAUCUGAAGUUUAUAAAAUAGACUUUUAUCUUCCUUUUAAAAUAGAAAGGGAGAAUGUGUGCCUAAGGGUUCAUCCUUUUCUUUUUUUGUGUGUUCCUGGAGAUUGAGCCAACCCCCCUCCAUGUAAAAAGUUAUCUUGAGUCAGGGUCUCACUAAGUUGUCCAGGCCAUCCUUGGAUUUGCUAUCCUCCUGCCUCAGCCUCCGAGUAGCUGGGGUUACAGGUGUAUACCACCACACCAAGCUCAAAGGUCCAUCCUUAAGAACAAAAAUCUGACAACAUUUUUGGGAGGUGCACAUGGGCAAUGGGCCAGCUCAGGAAGUAGAAAGGGAAGGAGAUUGUCGUUUGAACUUCCAGUGUCCUCACUCAGGGCUGGACCCUGUGGAUGGGGCUGUUCUUGGGUUGGUCCUGGACUGGGUUAUGUCUUCAUUAUCUGGUUCCUUCAGAGUUGGACACCUGGUGGGAUGAGGAGAUGAGUGAGGCUGGACUUCCCACACACCAGGGACAGCCUCGGGGACACACGCCAUUUUUUGUUUUGUGGCAUUGGGUUUCCUGAUACUACCUGCUAUUGUUCAUCCAGGGUCUUCUCUGUUCUCACCACACCCUCGUUUUUGAUUCCAAUAUCUUUCAUAUGAACUGGCUUCUUUUUAAAAAAGUCUUAGGUUUCCCCAUUUUUAUUUUUAUGUUUCCCUAUUUUGAUUAGGAGUGAGCUCUAUUUAUUCAAGGUGGUUAUUCCAACUCUUCUCACUUUUUUUUUUAAAGUUGUUAAUGGGCCUUUAUGUAUUUGUAUGCAGGGAUGUGAAUUGAACCCAGUGCCUCACACGUACCCCUGAGCCCUGACCCCAGCUCCUCCCUUUGCCUUUGAUAUGGGAAAAGCUUGCUAAAUUUCUUAUUGUCAAAAAGUUCCUCUCAUCCCAGGGACAAAAAGAAAUGUCAAGUCGGCAUGCUGACAUUUGUUCAUAAUCCCAGAAAUAUGGGAGGCUGAAGCAGGAGGACUGCAAGUUCAAGGCCAGCCUCAGCAAUCUAG
This 1432-nucleotide long non-coding RNA is filed under the name Marmota monax (woodchuck). The record is from RNAcentral. Lineage: Eukaryota; Metazoa; Chordata; Mammalia; Rodentia; Sciuridae.